UAAGGGCGCACGGUGGAUGCCUUGGCACUAGAAGCCGAUGAAGGACGUUACUAACGACGAUAUGCUUUGGGGAGCUGUAAGUAAGCUUUGAUCCAGAGAUUUCCGAAUGGGGAAACCCAGCAUGAGUUAUGUCAUGUUAUCGAUAUGUGAAUACAUAGCAUAUCAGAAGGCACACCCGGAGAACUGAAACAUCUUAGUACCCGGAGGAAGAGAAAGAAAAUUCGAUUCCCUUAGUAGCGGCGAGCGAAACGGGAAGAGCCCAAACCAACAAGCUUGCUUGUUGGGGUUGUAGGACACUCUAUACGGAGUUACAAAGGACGACAUUAGACGAAUCAUCUGGAAAGAUGAAUCAAAGAAGGUAAUAAUCCUGUAGUCGAAAAUGUUGUCUCUCUUGAGUGGAUCCUGAG
Molecule: ribosomal RNA, 407 nt
Filed under: Staphylococcus aureus
Lineage: Bacteria; Bacillati; Bacillota; Bacilli; Caryophanales; Staphylococcaceae
Description: partial 23S ribosomal RNA
Rfam family: Bacterial large subunit ribosomal RNA
Source: RNAcentral